GAUGAACGCUGGCGGCGUGCCUAAUACAUGCAAGUUGAGCGAAUGGAUUAAGAGCUUGCUCUUAUGAAGUUAGCGGCGGACGGGUGAGUAACACGUGGGUAACCUGCCCAUAAGCCUGGGAUAACUCCGGGAAAACGGAGCUAAUCCCGGAUAACAUUUUUAACUCCAUGGUUCGAAAUUGAAAGGCCGCUUCGGCUGUCACUUAUGGAUGGACCCGCGUCGCAUUAGCUAGUUGGUGAGGUAACGGCUCACCAAGGGAACGAUGCGUAGCCGACCUGAGAGGGUGAUCGGCCACACUGGGACUGAGACACGGCCCAGACUCCUACGGGAGGAAGCAGUAGGGAAUCUUCCGCAAUGGACGAAAGUCUGACGGAGCAACGCCGCGUGAGUGAUGAAGGCUUUCGGGUCGUAAAACUCUGUUGUUAGGGAAGAACAAGUGCUAGUUGAAUAAGCUGACACCUUGACGGUACCUAACCAGAAAGCCACGGCUAACUACGUGCCAGCCGCCGCAGUAA
This 515-nucleotide ribosomal RNA is filed under the name uncultured bacterium. RNAcentral's name for it is "partial 16S ribosomal RNA". It matches the Rfam family "Bacterial small subunit ribosomal RNA", at positions 28 to 523 of the family's 1533-position model. The record is from RNAcentral.